RNAcentral lists this long non-coding RNA (23023 nucleotides) under Cucumis sativus (cucumber). RNAcentral describes it as "long non-coding RNA (CSAT_LNC002481)". The record is from RNAcentral. Lineage: Eukaryota; Viridiplantae; Streptophyta; Magnoliopsida; Cucurbitales; Cucurbitaceae.
UUGAUUAGGGUCUCUAUGGAUAGCCCAUGCAUUAACCAAUACAAUUGUGUCACGUGGUAUUUUGUACCCGCUGAUUGUACAAUCAUGGGAGGUUAGAUGUGGCACUAGCAUUGGAGCAGUUGGGUUCAAUCGAAGAGUCUCAGAGAUGAUUCCUUGAAGAUAUGGUAACUUGGGGAUAUCCGAUUCUUCUACAAGUCGUUUUUCUCCAAUUUGAGCGUCUAUCUCUUCUCUAGCCUUUUUUAGUACAUCUGGAUUGUUGAGCAAAUGAGCUAGAAUCCAUUCAAUUGUCACAGCUGAAGUGUCUACUCCUGCUAGUAGUAACUAAUAAAAAAAAAAAAAACCCGAGUAUGAAUGGAUAUGAAUAAUUAGAUUUAAAUGGACAAAAGAUUAGUGUAUAUAUCUAAUUAUUUUAUUUCAUUUAAUUUUUCAAUAAUUUAACUUAUGAUAGGAGGAAAAAAAAAGUUAAAAAAUAAUUGUAAGUUUGUGUCCAAUAUCUUAUAUACAAGUUAUUUAAAUAAUUUGAUUAUUUACUUUUACAAUAAAAUGAAUGGAAAACAAAAACUAAACUAUUUAUAAAAUAGAGGAGAAUCAAUAGGCUAAUUCUAAUGUCUUAAUAAAUAAGUUAGUAUCCACUACAAAAAUAUUUUGUUUUUUUUUUUAAUUCCUUGAGAAACUCCCAAUUUUAAAUAUCUUGAAUAUAUUUGUUUACUAAAAUUUUAUUUUGAAAAGAUUAUUUAGUAAGUCUAUAUCAGAUCUUUUGUACAUAAUAUUAAACUUUCAGUACUGAGUUUAGUAAUAAUCUUUAGAAAAAGAAUUUUGAUAGCUUAACCAAAAAUACUCAUGAAAGAUUCAUUCUUUUCCGUUCUUUUAUUUUCGUUUGUACUUUCUUUGACCCUUCUUUCCAUAUUUUUUUCUGUAAUUUUAUUUUUAUUUUUAUCUUUUUUUUCUCUUCUUUUGCAAAUAUAUUUUAAACUAAAUUUCUUUCUAUUUAGAAAAAAAUGAAUUAAAAUUUACGGUUUUUUAUUAAAAAAUAUUUUAAUGUUUUUUUUCUCCACCUACAUAUUUUUUCCAACUUAAGCUUUGAAUUUUGGUAAUUUUGAUUAGUUAUAUUAAAGUAUGCUUUUACUAACUUUUGUUCCAUUCUUUUUAAUCUUUAGUCGUAUAAUAUGUUUUUCUAAUUAUAAAUUAGUUAAGUCUUAACUAAUUUUUAAUUUGAAUUAACUGAGUAUAACUACAAUGUUAUAUUAAGCAUCAUUAUGAUCCGAAUAAAAUUUCAAAUGUUUUUUUAUUAUAAUUGAAUAAAUGUUGUAAAUUAUAAUAAAAUUUUCAACAAUUAAUUUCUUAUAAUUUUUUUCGACUCUAUUUUAUGAGAAUUUUUAAAAAUAGGUAAUUUUAUAAAAUAUUUACCAAAUUGUCUAUGACAAAUUCAAUUAUUGAUAUGUCAUCACACAUAAAAUUCAAUCAAAAUUCAAAAUUCAAAUUUUGUUAUAGAAACUAAACAUUUUAAUUUAUUUUGCUAUUUUAAAAAAUGUUCAUUUAUUUUACUUAUAAUUUAUAAUUUUGUUUACUAUUGUUUUAUUUAUUUAUAUAUAUUGUUGACAGUUGCUCUUUUAAUUGUUUUAUUUAGAAUAUUUUUCAACUAUUGUUGGUUUAUUAUUGUUCUAUCUAUAACCUUUUUUUUACUAACGUCAAGUGAUAACCGUCACCAACCUCUAAUCACAAUCUACGACAAAAAGUAGUAAUAAUGAUAAAUACUUUUUAAUAAAAGAAAAAAUAACAUUGAAAAUAACUUAAAAUAUUUUUAAAAAAUAAAUAACCAUUAAUAUUUGUAUUUAGUUUUUCUAAAUAGAAAGAAAUUUAGUUUAAAAAUACAAAUAAAAAAGCAUCGAAGAAAAGAGAGAAAAAGAGAGGAGAAAUAAAGAAUAAAAAAGGGAUAGAGAGUCUAAGCUGUUAAAAAUAGUAAAAUAAACGGAAAUAUUUAAUAAAUAUAGUAAAUUUAUAAAAAUUUUGCCAUAGACUGUUAAAAAUAUUUAUAAAAUACAAUAAAAUUUCAAAUUAUAUAAAUGAUUUUACAAUAUUUUUGUUCUGUUCACAAUUUUAUAUUUGAAAAGGUUUAUUUAUCAAUGUUUUCCCCCAAAAGUUUUGUAUUAGAUUUUAUGGCAAAUAUAUGCUAUGACUACAGGAGAGACGUAGCCGCAAGGUCACUACUUCCAAUCCAAAAGAGAAGGAAAAAACUCCAAAUUCACGAGCAGGAUUAACUAAAACCGAAUGGGAAUGGAGAUUGAAAAUUGUUUACUUAAAGGAAGGUUAUUGAAAGUGAGUGAGAAAUUAUGGAGAUUAAUUACCAGAACAAUUCCUUUGAUUAUUUCAUCUCCAUAGUACUCAGGCUCCAUUUCCUGCAGAGAUAGCAAAUGACCGAUCACCGUGUUCCUUUCUUCUUCCUUAUUGCUCCGAUGUUCAUCAAUCAAUCCCUGCAGAAACGCGUCCAUCCUCUUCGCAACUCUCCAAACCUUCCUCUUAAAUCCAUUCGGGAUCCAAUUCAUCAUCGGAAUGAAAUCUCCCGGAUACGAUACUCCUCCCAUCGACACGAUCUGUUUAAUCAGCUCUCUCGACUGUCUCGCUUCCUCCACAUCCCUCACCUCCUCACCAAAAUACCUCUUUCCUGCCGCCAUUCUCAUCGAUAUGUUAAACGUCCGUUCCGAAAUCGCCGACUGCAUCUCUACUUUCGAGAAUCCAUACAUCGAAUUUCUCGAUAGCUUCUUCAGUAACCGUUCCACUUCAUCCUUCCGGCUUCCUGCGAAUUUAUUGAGGCGAGACGCUGAAAAGAUCUCGAUCGCGCCGAUUCUGCGGAGGUUCCGCCAGUGAUCUCCAUAAGGUGACGAUACCAUCGUAGUGUAGUUGUAGCUGAUGUGUUUCCCGACUAGCAAGCGAGGACGGUUGGCUAAAACAAUGUCGUUCUUAGUGAAACACUCCUCCACUGCCGGCAACGAGGAGACGACCACAACGAGGCGAGAUCCAAGCCAGAGAGAGAUUACUGGUCCGUAUUGCGCAGAGAGUUUGUGUAAAGUUUGGUGAUGGGGGAUUUUGAGGUAAUGGAGGUGGCCGAUGAUAGGGAGAGACGGGGGACUGGGGGGUAAGUUUGUACGGCGGGUGCGGAGGUUGAAAGCGAAGAGGAGAGAGAUAAGGGAGAGAAAUAGGUAAAGGAGAGAGUAAAUUUGCAUGGCGUUUUUGUUGAAAAAAGUAAUAUUUAAAUUUGGAGUUGGGGAGUGAAGAUGAAGAGGUGGCUACUAGGGGUGAGGUAUUUAUAGAGAUUGAAGCCACCAGAAUGACCUUGGCAGUGUGCUGUAAUAACAUACAUUAUGAAGUCCAUUUUAUGUACGAGUUUCAAUUGAAAUCCAAAAUUUCUAUGCAUGUAAAUCCAUCUUGAGUAGAGACAAAACUAUAUAUUAAUCUUUUUCCACGUUGACAAAGUAUCUGCUGAAGAUACUCAACCCCUUUUUGGCUUCUCUCUCUUCUUUCCUUUUAUCUAUUAUAAUCAUCAUAAUCGAAGGAAAAUGCAUGACUGACAUGUGUAGAGUUUAAUGAUCCUUCAAUUGCCAUAUGUAUCAACAGUUAUGAGAUUUUCAAUUUUAAUAAUACUCUCUAGUUCUUCCUAUUCUUAAAAGAGACUACGAUUGCUUUUGUGGUUGAAAAUUAGACUCAUCAUGUCUCACAUAUAUUCUACUAAAAAUGUGAUUAUUUUUAAAUAUUUAAAGAAUUUACAUAAUAAUCAUGACAUAUUGUAGUGCAUCAAUGCUUUUUUAUUGGUACAUAAUUUCAAAGUUUCAAAUUUCUUGUUUUUACUUUCUUUUUUUUUUUAACGAAUAACAAAUUUGACCUGAAAUUAAAAUUUUAAUCAAUGUUUUCUAAUAAGACGUGUCAACUCUAGCUUAUAUCAAAUAAUUGAAAGAUGUAUAUAUUAUGGACUAAAAUAUUAGAGAUUUAAAUCUUUUCACAUUACUGUUUUCAAAAACCGCAUCAACAAAAUGUAUUCAUAAAGUGCAACUAAAUAUUGUGUUCUGAAAAUUCCCACAACAAAUUUAUAGAAGUAUUACAACAAGAUUGGAAUCAAAUAAUAAAAUAUAUAAUUUCUUUGAUCACAUCUAAAUUAUAUGGAAUGAAUAUAGUUAUUAGACUCUUACUAGUAUCAAUUUAAAUUUUAAACUUACAUUCUACUUAAAUACAUUUGAGAAAGUUGAAAGUCUAAAUUGAUAUAAUAAUGAGUUUAGGGUUUAAAUUGGUAUUGAUAUAUAAUUGCCAUAAAUUUUAUAAAUCUUUGAAUUGAUUAGACCUAAACUUCUCAGUUGGACAACAAAUAGAGAACUGUUCAGUACCGAUUUAAACUUUAUAAGAUAGACGAUGUGAUUUGUUAGGUAUUGUUAUAAUCCAAAUAUUUAAAACUGAAAAGUAAGUUUGCCCAAGCUUCCCAUGUUAAUUAGAGUCUAAUGGGAGUAAACUUACCUGACUUAUAAAUAUUAUUUAAAAAUGUUUACCCAUUAGCAUGAUUUUAAAAUUUUAUAUGUAUUAUAUUAUUUUAGAUUAAUAAUUUUUUUAUUAUUCGUAAGUGUUUAUUGUUUCAUUCUAAAAUUUAAAUAAUUUACACUUUAAACACGUGUUAUUAUAAUCAAAACUAAAAUAGUUUACAUUUCAAACACAUAAUAUUAUAACUAAAAUUAAAAUAAUUUACUAUUCAAAUACAUAUUAUUAUAAUAAAAACUAAUAAUAUAUUAUUGGAUCGUUAUAAUGGUUACAAUACUCUAUAAUAACUUAGGAACAUAAUAACCAACUUAUAUAUAUUGAUAUAGAUUCAUAUGAUUAGGUAUUUAGGAAUUGUUAAACAUGGAAGUAAAGUUGAAAUGAAAUUAUGACUUAUGGAAAAACAAAACAAAAGUAAAAAAGAGAAACAGAAUCUUCCAACCGAAUAAAUGGAAAAAUGGGACAAAAUUUCAAAUAAACCUAAAAAAAAAUGGGGAAUACAUAAAACAAAUGCAGUAUUGAUGAGAAAUGAGAGGAUGUAAUGUAAGGGGUAGAAAAGGCAAAAUAAGUGUAAAAUGAGUUAGACCAUAUAUUUCUAAACUUUUGCUACAAAUAAUAGGUAAUAUAUAUAUGCAUCAUUAUUCAAAUUAAAUCUCAAUUACCUAAUGCUAUGAUACAACAAAUCAACCAUACAUCAACAAGCCUCCUUGAAGAUAUAUAUAUAUAUAUAUAUAUAUAUAUAUAUAUAUAUAUAUAUAUAUAUAUAUAUAUAUAUAUAUAUAUAUAUAUAUAUAUAUAUAUUGUGAAUUAUUAAAUAUAAACAAUACCUUUAAAUUAAUAAUCCAAUCAUUUUUCAGUUAAAAAUGUUGUGGACGAUAGGACGAGCUUUGCACAUAGCUUCCAAUGGCACCACCUUGGGCAUAGUGACGCCUCUUCCUUCCGUCAUGUCCACUUUCUCUUCCCCAAUCCUCUCCCACUCGUAGCAUUGAAUCAGAGUCGCUAGAGUCAGUCCCACCACUCGUUGAGCCAUGCUGGAGCCGGGGCAAGCUCGUCGUCCGACUCCAAAUGGAAUCAUCUUUGGGAUUUGAUGAUGGUCACUUGAUUCUAAGUUUUGGUGUCUUUCUGGCUUGAAUAAUGUGGGCUCUUCCCAUUGACUAGGGUCUCUGUGGAUAGCCCAUGCAUUAACCAAUACAAUCGUAUCACGUGGUAUUUCGUACUCACUGAUUGUACAAUUGUUGGAUGUUAGAUGUGGCACUAGCAUUGGAGCAGCUGGGUUCAAUCGAAGAGUCUCAUAAAUGAUUCCUUGAAGAUAUGGUAACUUAGAGACGUCUAAUUCUUCUGCUAGUUGUUUUUCUCCAAUUUGAUUGUCCAACUCUUCUCUAGCCUUUUUUAGUACCUCUGGAUUGUUGAGCAAGUGAGCUAAAGCCCAUUCAAUUGUCACAGCUGAUGUGUCUGUUCCAGCUAGUAGUAACACCUGUACGCUUAUUUUUGUUUAGAGUUUGAUAUAAUACACACAAAACAGAUAUCACAAAACAAAAACAAAUCCUACCAAGUCAAUAAUUAGGACUAAAUAUGGAAAAAUUAGUAAAAAAAAAUCUAAACAAUGUUAUUUCAAAGCAAACACUCUUUCAUGUUACUCCUAACCCUAAAGCUUGUAAGCCAUAAUUAAAUAUGAAAAUUAAUUAAUGGUAAUUUUCUCUCUACAAUAUGGCCAAGUGCUUCCCCAACGUCAAAGGUGCGUGACUUUUUCUUUUUUCACUCAAAGCAAACAGUUUGUGCAUGAAAAUAUUAGAGCAUUUUUCUAUCUUUGCCCCAAAAUGCUUUUAAAAAUAGUUUGAGGGGAAAUGCUAAAUGUAGAGGAGAGACGAUAGGGGUCCCCCAGGCCGCAAGGCCACCACUUUGAAUCUUCGUUGCCAUUCUGUCCUAUUAUAUGUUCUUAUAUAUAUUUCGGGGAUUACCCAAAAGAGAUGGAUAAAGAGCAAAAUUCUUGAGAAUAAUGGCAAUGAAGAUUGAAAAUGAGUGAGAAAUUAUGGAGAUUAAUUACCAGAACAAUUCCUUUGAUUAUUUCAUCUCCAUAGUACUCAGGCUCCGUUUCCUGCAGAGAUAGCAAAUGAUCGAUCAUUGUGUUCCUUUCCUCUUCCUUAUUGCUCCGAUGUUCAUCAAUCAAUCCCUGCAAAAACCUGUCCAUCCUUUUCCCAAGUCUCGAAACCUUCCUCUUAUAUCCAUUCGGGACCCAAUUCAUCAUCGGAAUGAAAUCUCCCGGAUUCGAUACUCCUCCCAUCGACACAAUCUGUUUAAUCAGCUCUCUCGACUGUCUCGCUUCCUCCACAUCCCUCACUUCAUCACCGAAAUACCUCUUUCCGGCCGCCAUUCUCAUCGAUAUGUUAAACGUGAGUUCCGAAAUCGACGAUUGCAUCUCUACUUUCGAGUAUCCAUGCAUCGAAUUCCUCGAUAGCUUCUUCAGUAACCGUUCCACUUCAUCCUUCCGGGUUCCUGCGAAUUUAUUGAGGCGAGACGCUGAAAAGAUCUCGAUGGCUCCGAUUCGGCGGAGGUUCCGCCAGUGGUCUCCGUAAGGUGACCCUACCAUCGUAGUGUGGUUGUAGCCGAUGUGUUUUCCGAAUAGCAACCGAGGACGGUUGGCUAAAACGAUGUCGUUCUUAGUGAAGCACUCCUCCACUGCUGGCAAUGACGAGACGACCACAACGAGGCGAGAUCCAAACCGGAGAGAGAUUAAUGGUCCGUAUUUUGCAGAGAGUUUGUGUAAAGUUCGGUGGAGGGGGAUUUUGAUAUAAUGGAGGUGGCCGAUGAUGGGGAGAGACGGAGGACUGGGGGGUAAGUUUGUAGGGCGGGUGCGGAGGUUGAAGGCGAAGAGGAGAGAGAUAAUAGAGAGAAAUAGGUAAAGGAGAGAGCAACAUUCCAUGGCGUUUUUGUUAAAGAAGAAGUAUGUUUAAAUUUGGAGUUGGGGAGUGAAGAUGAAGAUAUGGGUACAUGGGUGAGGUAUUUAUGGUAUUGAAGCCACGACAACGACAUUGUGUAAUCACAUUCAGCUAUUUUAAACUAAAUAUAAUUCCAUCAAAUAUCUUUCUUCUUCAUUUCCUUUCCCAACAUUUUCAAAUCUGUUUACUCCUCAGACCUUAGUUAUAGAAAAACCAAUAUCAUAGGUUUAAUCAAUUAUUUAUUUGGCCAACUUUUCGUAAUGUUUCUAAUGCUUUUGUUUUUGUGCACCCAUGGAAUGAAGAGUAUAAACGUCCAUUUCUUUCUUUUAUCGCUUUUUUAGUAUUAGUCAUGUCAUAUGCAAAUAUGUUUUUGUAACAUCUUUUGUGUGGAUGGAUUUGGUUUCAUUUCUUUCUUCUUCUUUUCAUUCUUUUCUUCCUGUUUUUGUUUAGUUUGUGCUUUGACAUACGUUCAAAUUUAAUACAUUUGCAAACAUAAUAUAAUAAAUAAUAAUAAUAAAAUAAUUAAAAAAAGCUUAGAGUUAGAUAUGUUUAGUUGUAAUGCUAGUUUAGCUAAAGUUUAUUUAUUCAUUUAUAAAUCUUCUCGACAUAUGUUCGUUCAAGGUUUGAUAUAUCUUUUAAAAAUAUUGAUAACUGACACUCCUCUUCUCUUUUUCAUGUCUUUUAUCCUACCUCAUAAUAGUAACUAAGGAACGGACAAAUAGACCAUAAUAUAUAUGCAUUACUAUUCAAAUUAAAUCUUAGUUACUUAAUAUUCUACCAUACAACAAAACAACCCUACAUUAACACACCUCCUUUUAAGAUAAAGAUGUCACUUUCUUUUUUUUUUUUUUUUUGUAAAUUAUUAAAUAUAAACAAUACCCUUAAACAAUCCAAUCAUUUUUCAGAAUUUUUAGUUAAAAAUGUUGUGGAUGAUAGGGCGAGGUUUGCACAUGGCUUCCAGUGGCACCAUCUUGGGCAUAGUGACGCCUCUUCCUUCCGACAUGUCCACUUUCUCGUCACCAAUCCUUUCCCACUCGUAGCAUUGAAUUAGCGCCGCCAGAGUCAACCCCACCACUCGUUGAGCCAUGCCCGAGCCGGGGCAAGCUCGUCGUCCGACUCCAAAUGGGAUCAACUUUGAAAUAUGAUGAUCAAUUGAUUCUGACUUUUGGUGUCUUUCUGGUUUGAAUAGUGUGGGUUCUUCCCAUUGAUUAGGGUCUCUAUGGAUAGCCCAUGCAUUAACCAAUACAAUCGUGUCACGUGGUAUUUUGUAUCCACUAAUUGUACAAUCAUUGGAGGUUAGAUGUGGCACUAGCAUUGGAGCAGCUGGGUUCAAUCGAAGAGUCUCGGAGAUGAUUCCUUGAAGAUAUGGUAACUUGGAGACGUCUGAUUCUUCCACUAGUCGUUUUUCUCCAAUUUGAGUGUCUAGCUCUUCUCUAGCCUUUUUUAGUACCUCCGGAUUGUUGAGCAAGUGAGCUAAAGCCCAUUCAAUUGUCACCGCUGAUGUGUCUGUUCCGGCUAGUAGUAACACCUGCACAUUUAUUUUUAUUUUGAGUUUGACAUAAUACAUACAAAAGACAUAUCAACAAAAACAAAAAUAAGUCAUAAAAAGUUAAUUAGGACUAAAUAUGAAAAAAUUAGUCACUAGAAUCUAGAUAUACCUUAUUGCAUAUACCUUCUAACAAGAACAAUAUCUAAAUAGAAGAAAAAAUAAAUAUAUAAUCAUAAGUUGAUAGUUGCUAAAAGAUAAAUUUUCCCUUUUCACUUUAAAAAUAUCUUUUAUAUUAUUCUUUUUUCACUUUGUAAUAAUUGGGUUAGAUCGUCAACACGAAUUUAGCUCAACCGACAUCUGUAUGUACCUGUGGACAAGAGAUUUCAUGUUCAAAUCUCCACCUCUGCAUUUACUACAAUACAUUUUAAAAAUAAAUUGAGGUGGAUCUAUAGAGAUGUGGGGCUACACUCUAGUGUUCCUCUUAUUUAGAUGCAUGUUGAUCAUAACUUCAGAUACCCGACCUAAGAUGGAAAAUGCUCACUUCAACCAAAAAGAAAAGAAACCUUAUAAAACAUAAUUUAAAAAGAGAGAGGAGCUUUUUGCGAUGUGUUUAGAGAAUUGGUUUGGGCAAGGGGUUGAUGCACCAAAGUGCUUUUUCUAUUCUUGAUCACUAAAUAUAAAUUAAUGGUAAUUCUAUCUCUGCAUUAAGGCCAAGUGCGUGCCUAUUAUUAUUAAUUUUAGGUGAAGACUGACUUUUUUUUCUUUCAAAGCAAACACUUGUGCAUGCUACUUUAAGUAUGAUUGAAUAAUUAGAUGUAAAAGUAUUAAGAAAUUUUUAACCACCAGUAUGAUUGAAUAAUUAGAUGUAAAUAGACAAAAGAUUAGUGUAUAUAUCUAAUUAUUUUAUUUUUCAAUAAAUUAAUUUCACCCGAUCGUAGGAGGAGAAAAUACUUCUUAAGUAAAUACUUUUAUGAAUAAGUUAUUUAAAUAAUUUAAUUAUUUUUUUAUAACGAAACAUGAAUGGAAAAUAAAAUUAAAACCAUGUAUAAAAUAAAGCAAAAAGUUUUAAAUAGACUAUAGAGACUUUUUUUUUUACUAAGUUUUUGUUUGAUUAUUUUUUAUUUUUAAUCGUAUAAUAUGCUUUUCUAUAUAUAAAUUAGUAAAUUCAAGUCAAUCGGACAAAAAAUUAAUUUGAAUUAAUUAGGUAGAAAUAUAAUAUAAGAGACUAAGUGUUUGCUCCGAAUAAAAAUUUACUUUUAUUAUAAUUGGAUAAAUGUUGUAAAUUAUAAUAAAAUUUCGAUAACUAAUUUUUAUAACAUUUUUCAACUUUCUCCUGUUUAUAAUUUUUUUUUAUUAAUAACCUUUUUUUUUUUUACUAACUUAUGAUGAUAAUUGUGGUCAACCUCCAGUACUUAUAAUUGUUUUACACUAAUUGCCGUGCCUACCUUCAAUCACAAUUUAUUAUUGAAAAGAUUCAAAUACUGAUAAAUAUUUUUUUAAUAAAAGAAAAAAUAACUCAAAAUAUUUUUUUAAUAAAAGAACCAUUAGUUUUUAAUUUAUUUUUUAUAACUUGAUAGAAAUUUAGUUAAAAAGAUGCAAAUAAAAAGAAAACAUUGAAGAGAGAGAGAAGAGGGAGGAAAUAAAAGAAAAGAAGAAAGAAAGGGAAAGAGAGCCUAAACGGCAGUUAUAAGAAAACGAGAACAAAAAGAAGAAAAUAGAGAAAUCUAGUGGUUAAAAAUAUAAUUUUAGAAAAAGUGAAAUGAAGAGACACGCGUCAAUAAAGCCAAAACAAGAACCACUAAAUUAUUUUCAAAACAGUCCCUGUACCUAAUUAUUUUUCAAAACAACCCUUGUGCCUAAUUAUUUUUCAAAACAAUCCUCCUACCUAAUUACUUUUCAAAACUGCUUUAUUUUCUUCAAAUAACCCCAGAUUUGAUGACCCACUUGAUUGGACCCAAAAAUGAAAGAAGACAGUGGUUAGAGGUCCCUCAAGCUGCAGACCACCACUUUGAAUCUUUGUUGCGAUUCUCAUAUAUUAUAUAUUUUUGUAUCCAUUUCGGGGUUUAUCCUAAAGAGAAGGAAAAAAACGCCAAAUUCUUGAGCAGGAUAAUUAUAACCGAAUGGUAAUGGAGAUUGAAAAUGUUUGUUAAACGAAGAUUGAAAGUGAGUCAGAAAUUAUGGAAAUUUAUUACCAGAAUGAUUCCUUUGAUUAUUUGAUCUCCAUAGUACUCAGGCUCCGUUUCCUGCAGAGAUAGCAAAUGAUCGAUCAUUGUGUUCCUUUCUUCUUCCUUAUUGCUCCGAUGUUCAUCAAUCAAUCCCUGCAAAAACCCGUCCAUCCUCUUCGCAAGUCUCGAAACCUUCCUCUUAUAUCCAUUCGGGAUCCAAUUCAUCAUCGGAAUGAAAUCUCCCGGAUUCGAUACUCCUCCCAUCGACACGAUCUGUUUAAUCAGCUCUCUCGACUGUCUCGCUUCCUCCACAUCCCUCACUUCCUCACCGAAAUACCUCUUUCCGGCCGCCAUCCUCAUCGAUAUGUUAAACGUCAGUUCUGAAAUCGACGAUUGCAUCUCUACUUUCGAGAAUCCAUACAUCGAAUUCCUCGAUAGCUUCUUCAGUAACCUUUCCACUUCAUCCUUCCGGGUUCCUGCGAACUUAUUGAGGCGAGACGCUGAAAAAAUCUCGAUGGCUCCGAUUCGGCGGAGGUUCCGCCAGUGGUCUCCGUAAGGUGACGCUACCAUUGUAGUGUGGUUGUAGCCGACGUGUUUGCCGACUAGCAACCGAGGACGGUUGGCUAAAACGAUAUCGUUCUUAGUGAAGCACUCCUCCACUGCCGGCAACGACGAGACGACCACAACGAGGCGAGACCCAAACCAGAGAGAGAUUACUGGUCCAUAUUUUGCAGAGAGUUUGUGUAAAGUUCGGUGGAGGGGGAUUUUGAUAUAAUGGAGGUGGCCAAUGAUGGGGAGAGACGGGGGACUGGGGGGUAAGUUUCUACGUCGGCUGCGGAGGUUGAAAGCGAAGAGAAGAGAGAUAAGAGAGAGAAAUAGGUAAAGCAGAGAAGAAAUUUCCAUGGCGUUUUUGUUAGAAGAGUAUAUUUAAAUUUGGAGUAGAGAGUGAAGAUGAAGACUCUGCUUGGGUGAAGUAUUUAUAGUGAUCGAAGCCACGACGAUGACAUUGGCAGUGUGCUGUAAUGUUUAAGAAGCUCUUUGGAUUAAAGAUUAACCGGGGCUUAUUGGACAAUAAUAACCCCUAUUUGCUUCACCCAAUAUUAUUUAAAGUCUCUUAUUAGCUACAUUAUAUAUAUAUAUAUAUUUUUUUUAUGAAACUAAAAUAGUCUAAUAUCAAAUACAUCAAUUAUAACGAUUUAUUCUAAUCAAAUUAUAAUAAUUUAUUUUUUACUACAAACACUCUAUUUAAUAUAUAUUAAAUAAUUCCAUCGAAUAUCUUUCUUUCAUUUCGUUUUUCAACAUUUUCAAAUAUUCUACUGUGUUCACUUAAUAAUUGGCUUGAAUUAAUUAAUUAUUUGGCCAAACUUUCCUAAUGUUUUUAAUGCAUGAUAUGGUUGCUAUUUUAGUACUAGUUCUAAUCCUUCCAAACUUGAGUUGUAGGUAUAUUUUGGUAUGAUCCGUUUGGUUUGGUUUAGUUUGUUUGUUCUUUUUUACUAUUUUGAUUGUGUUUUUGUAUUGUUUGUGCUUUGACUUUUGUUCAAAUUUAAUACCUUUGCAAAAAUAAUAAUAAUAAAUAAAUAAAUAAUAAAAGCUUGGAAUUGAUGAGUUUAGUUCAUGAAGAUCGUUUACCUAAAGUUUAUUUAUUCGUUUGCAAACUUUCUUUUGACAUACAAAUAUUUAUUUAAGGUUUGAUAUACCUUUAAAAAAUAUCAAGAACGAAUAACAUGUUAUGUUAGAUUAGGUUUUUUUCUUUUUCCUUUUCCUCUAUUUGACCCUAACUCAUAAUUGUAAUUAAGGAAUGGAUGAACAUUUUUGUCUACUAAAAAUCUAGAUUUGUGUGUUCCACAACUGAAAUAUAUAAUGCUCUAACUAGAACAUUAGGUGACAUUAUCUUUCCUUCAAAUUAGAAAGUUAGGAAAUUAAUUUAAAAGGACCAAAUAGUUGAGAUAAUGGUACAAUUUUUCUAUAGCUUAAUUUAAUGGCCCUUUAGACAUGCUUGUGAUAUUGCUAUAAUUAUUUGUUUACAAAUUACAUUAAAUAUAUGACUCAGCUCUUCAAUCCAAAAAUCAUGCAUCCAACAUUUUUGCAAAUUCAGUUCGUUGAAUUUAUUUAAAGCUACAAAUCAAAGAUAACUAAUCCAAAAUCCAAAAUUUCUAUGUAUGUAAAUCCAUUUUGAGUAGAGACAAAAUGAAAAACAAGAGAAUAAUUUAUAGUCCCAUUUUUAUCUAAAAUUAUGUAGAAACUCGCACACUGCCCCCACCUCCCACAUCCCCAUCCUUUUCCAUGUUGAAGAUGCUCAAUCCAUUUUUGAUCUCUCUUGUUUCCUAAUUUUAUCUAUUAAUCUUCCUAUCAAACCACAUGUAUAUCUACCUAAACAACCAAAAACUAUAGUUUAUAGUUCAAUAAUUGUCAUAUAUCCCUACUAAUUGUAAAAAAAAAAAAAACUAUAAUUAUUUUGUGGUUGAAAGUUAGAACUAUUAUGUGUCACAAAUAUAUUCGACUAAAAAUGUGAUUGUUUUUAAAUAUUUUAAAAAUAUAUACAUAAUAAUAAUUAUGAUAUGGUGGUACACAUAUAUUUUUAUUAUCGAUACAAAAACGAACUUAACACAAUUAACAUGGUUUCAUUUUAUACAUUUAAUACAACACAUUUUAUAAUAUAUAUAUGUUUGGGUUUGAUUACAAAGUUUACCUGAGUGGUUUUUGUAGGUAUUUUUAUUAAAUUGGUUUUCAUAUUAGAAAAAAUGUCUUUCCUGAAGAGUCGUCAACUUUGGCUUAUAAUUUCAAAGUUCCCAAUUUCUUGUGUACUGUUUUUUUUAUUGAAUAACAUAUUUGACAUGAAAUUAAAAAAAUUUAAUCAAUGUUUCUAAGACAUUAUAUGUCAAACUUUAGUUUUGCUCAAAUAAUUUUUUAAAAAAUGUAUAUAUUAUCAACUAAAAGAAUUAGAGAAUUGAAUAUUUUCAAUAUUGGUGUUAAAUUGUUAUCAAAAGAUCGGAUUAAACAACUCAAUAAAAUGUAUACUAAUAAGCGCAACUAAAUGCUUGUUUUGAAAAUUCACAUAAUAAAGUUAUAGGUAUCUUACAACAAGAUUGGAUUCAUAAUAAUAAAGCAUAUAAUUUUGUACAAUUCCCUAUUUUAGGUAAAGGUAUCUAUCACGUGUUAAGUUAUAUAAAUAAUCCAAACUACAUGACAGGUGGGUCUCCUUUGUAUUUAAUAAUCUUAAUUUAGUUCAUUCACAUGCUAAUAAUAGACUGAUUAAUAAUACUUUACCAAUAUCCAUAUCCAAAGGCCAGAAAGAUUGUUUUAAAUAAUUUAAAAUAUUACAAAACAUAGGUCACGUCAUCUUAAUUGAUACAGUAUUUUUUUGUAAAUACAAAUGAGUGUUUAGUUGAUUUUUUUUUAAAAAAAAUAGAACAUAGGAAAGAAGAAAAGACAAAGAAAAGUUGAGGUGAAAUUGAUGCAAUGACUUUGGGUUGAAUUAUGGGAAACAAUGGAUGAGGUGAGGAUAAAGAAAACUUGAAGGUGGGGGUUUGUCAUGAGCGUCAUGGAAUACGUAACGGGAACUUUGAUAUUUAGAUGACGCAAGCAAAUAGGUCACUUCAGGGUACUCUUCACUUUCACGGCCGGAUAUCGACAACAAACUCUAUCGUCGGCUGCUGCUACCCAUCACCUUUGCCAUUCCAUCUUCCAUUCUUUUCCUUUUAGAUCAAAUAUCAAUCAUCAAAACAUUGGACUUACCCUCAUUUAUUUCAUUCAUUAAUAAUUAUAUCAAUUUAAUUAACUUCAAGUUAAUAUUUGAUGAAUUUUUAGCUCUCUAAUUUUUAUAAGACAACUAAUUUAAAUAAUUUUAAACUUAGAAUAAAUUUAAGUAUUUUGUUAUAUGUUAGUGGGACACAUUUAUAAAAGGGAUUCUUUUAAAAAUAAAAAAUUUGACAAUUAUUUAUGUCGGGUUGAACAAAACUACUACAAGACAAAAUUCAAAAUACUUAUUUUUAUAUUAAGAGUUAAAUUCUAUUUUCAAUCAUUUUUUUUAUUGUAUGGAAGUUGAAAGUUUAGACGGAUAUAUUUAUGAAAAAUCCAUGAUUUAAAUUAACAUUUUUUAAAAUCUAGAAUUUGAAUUGGUAUAUUUAUACUAAUUGACAGUAAUUUUUUAUUCUACAUACUUCUAACUUUAUGGAUGUCCUCGAAGGGACAUUUGGAUUUAAUUUCUUUUCGUGAUUUUUCAACUUUAAAGUAAUGGAUGCAUAUAUUUAAAAAAAAAGUAGGAUAUAUUUAGUGAGAAAUAACAUAAAUUUGAAAAAAAAAAUUUAAGAAAAAUAAGUUAUAUUUUAUGUUUUUAUAUAUGUAUUUUGAUGGCAGAUUUGAACUAUGAUUUGAUGUCAAAUAUCAAAUUAAAGAAAACAUAGUUAUAUUUGAUUUUUGAAUCUAAUAUAAAAUUUAGAGGAAAAGUUUAAUUUAAACUAUUGUUUAAUAUGUAUAAUUGGUAUUUAUAAAUCAUAAAAGUAAUUGUUAUUUACUAAAUAUUAGAUGAUAAUAAAUUAUUCAUUAAUUUUUGUUAGAUUGUAUUUUGUGUUAAAAAAGUGUAUAACUAUUUUAAUUAAUAUUAUAAUAUAUUGGAGUGUAAACUUUUUUCUACUUUUGAAAAAAACCUCAAUUUAUUACGUAUUCUUAAAUAUAAUAGUUUGUCAAUAGUUAUAAAUAUACUUAUAAUUGUUUAAUAUACUUAUGCAUUUAAAAACUUUAAAUUCAAAAUCAAAACACAAUGAAAAUGAAAAAGUAAAAAAUAUAUUGAUUUGGGAAAAGCAGAAUUUGAAUUGUUGUGUUGUCAAACACAUAUGGUUGAAGCCAAUAAAACUAAAACACAUCAACCAAACGUACAAUUAGACAAUUAUUAAACCAGAUAUUAAAGCUCAAUAUUUAUACGUGUAUAAUUUAAAUGUUAUAACUUAUCUAAAUAUAUUAAUUUAAACUUUUAAAUUUAUACUUUGGUUGAAUACAUUUAACUGUGAGUUUAAAUUGAUAUAAUAAUUAGAUUAGUAUUUAAAUUGAUACAAUUUUGUAUAAAUUGGUAUUUGUCAUACAUUUGAUAUUAUAAAUGUUUGAAUUGGUUAGACCUAAAAACUUCUCAUUUGGACAACAAAAGGAGAAAACCAAGUCCAUACUGACUUAUACUUUAUACAAUAAAUGUGAUGUGUUAGGUAUUGUUAUAAUCCAAAUAUUUAAAUGAGUGGAAGAAAAAGUUUACACAAGUUUAGAAGGUUAUUUAUGACCCGUUUCGGAUAAUAAUUGUCUAAGAUUAUAAUAACCACGUCAUUCUACACUAAAUAUUAAUUUUUAAAUAUCUAAUUAGGCACGGUAAACAUAAUUUCAACACUUUUUAUAUGUUACAAUAAUUAUUAUUUCCUACAAGUUUUACUAUUUUACAUUUGUAAUUUGUUUUUAUUAUUUCUAAAGUGUUCACGGUUUUAUUUUCAAACUAAAACAGUUUACAUUUCAAACACGUAUUACUAUAAUAAAAAAUAUAUAAUAAAUUAUAAAAUAAAUUACAGUUCAAACACAUGUUAUUAUAACCGAAACUAAAAUAAUUUAUAGUUCUAAGUGUAAAUGUUUACAAUCCAACUAUAAUAACCUCCCAAUGUUUCCUCCGUAUUUAUCCCUUAGAUGGUUUCAAACAAAGAUAAAUUGUUAUUUUACAAAAUUAGUGGGGCUUUUUAAAAAAAAUAAUUGAAAAAACAUAUUAUUUACAUCCACUAAGAGAAAAAGAUCCAUUUAACUUGAUUUUCUUUUUGAGAAAGUGUAAAUAUAUUUUGUUAAUCUUCCUAUUUUUUACCAUUUUUCACAUGAAUAAAUUUGUUAAAUAUUGUUUAAUUAAAAUAUUGUAUUAUAUAUAACUCUAUAUGACUUUAGUUUCGAAAGGAGACUAGAUGUAUUGAAUUAAUUUGCUGUUUAUGGAGGAAGGUUUUUGAACAAAUUUAAUCCAUUAGAAAACAAAUGUAUAAAUGAAUUGGAUUGGAAUAUAUCCUCAACUCAAUACAUAUUUUCGGGUUGGUUAGUCUUGCAAGUUUUUAACUCAACCAAUCAAAUAUGAGUUAAACUAGGCUGACUUUAAGUUGUAUUAUAUAUAUUUUUAGCAAAAAAAAAAAAAAACUCUCAUAAUAAUGUUUAACUUUUAUUAAAUAAAUAUAUAUAUAAAUGAAAAUGAGAAGAGUUUUAAAUAACAAAGAAAUUAAAGAACUAACAUAAAAGAAAAACACAAAAUAGAUGAUAAAGAUUAUAUCCAAGUAUGUCUUUCAAUAUUCAUGGUCCAUAGAAGUCGAGAAUUUUCAUCUUCUAAAAGUGUUGAAGGGAAUGAAAGCGAUUCAAACCAAACGGUCCCAACUUAAUGUUUUGCUUGAGCUCCAAUUUGAUACUCUCAACACUAUCAAACUCUUAAAUAUCUUCUAGCGGUGGGUUGACCGAAAAAUAUUUUAGAGUAGCAAAAUCUAACUUCUAUCAUUAAGUGAUAAAUGACGAAAUAAGUCUAUCACUAAAUGAUAUAUUUGUAAGCUCCAUGAACCAGCCUUAAACUGUAGAGAUGGUUACAAUCACACUUGGAUACUUUUAACUCGAUCAAUUAUUCCUUUAUCUUAAUUAAUAUUUAUAAUUGAUGGCAAUUGCAAUCAUAAUAAUCAAAUAUAUAACAACAUUUCAACAAAUUUAUAAAAGUCUACAACGGAUUUUGCUUUAUUUAUAACUUUCUUAAAAUGUUGUUAUAUAGUUAUUACUUUUAAUUUAAUUACUAUAUUUGUAAUUAUCAAAAUUUUAAAUUGUUUGAUAUGAUUUGAUUUCAGAAAGGGAAACUUGUCCUUAUUACAGGAGAAAAAAAACAAAAAAAGGUUUGAAUUUUGUUUACGUUGUGGUUGGGUUUUACCAUAUUAUCCCUUAGGUGUGGUUUCCAAAUCAUUUUCUGCUUCUUUCAAUAUUCGUCUUUGAGCUUUUUUGCUCCUUCUAACGGUAUCUCUUCUUUUACAAUACGUCCUUCUUUCUCUUUUUAAACCAUCAGUUUUUCAAAUCUUACUUCUGAAGCUUUUUCCCAUUCGUCUGUUAAACCCACCGGUUAGCGUUCUACAUCCUUCUAUAAUUCCUUAUUUUUUUUUUGUUAAAUUCAUCAAACAAAUACAAUUUUUUAACAAUUCCUUUCUUUUUUUUUAGCUUCCAGUUUUCUGUUUGGUUUCAAAUAUGUGUAAAAAAUAGAUAACACAUCAUUAUUCAACCAACACUUUGAUUUUUGCUUUUUUUCGUUUGUUACCGUUUUUACGGUUGGACAUAUUCAUCAUUUUUUUUGUAUUAUUUUCUACACACCAAACACAUACUAUUAUAACUCAAACUCAAACUAUUCUAAUCAAAUAACUUACUUAUCGUCCCAAACACCCAAAUUAUCGGUUGAUUUAUUUACGGCCAAAUAAACACAUUUUAGCUUUCCGAGAAUCUCACUGUUCCAUAACUUUUUUUUUUUUUCAUCUGCCCUCCCCUGGAUUCAUUUGAGAAAAAACUUGACUAGCAGUUAAAGGAAUGUCUAGAUCUUGACUCAUAUGUUCCUUUUCUUCUCUUAAAAUGGAAGAACCAAUGGAAGGAAUUCUUUGAAUGAACAUUGAAGAGCUCUCGUUGGCAUUGGUUUCACUAUCUUCAUGCGGCAUUCUAUGAUGAACAUUUUGUUCAAGUUGCAAUGCAUACUCCAAAUCCCACACCACAUCCCCCAUUGCUGGUCUAUUUUCACCAUCGUCUUGUAAGCAUUUUUCUAUUGUUUCACUGAACUUUCUCAAGGAAUUAGGAUCGAUCUGACCCUUUAAUUUUGGGUCGAUGAUCUCUUCAAGCAACUCCAUUUUCUUGCACUUCAAUCCCCAUUCUGCUAGAUUUAUUUGCUCAUUUGGAAGUGUUGGAUUCAAAGCUAGUCUCGCACACAAAACCUCAAGAAGAACUACCCCAAAUGAGUACACAUCAGAUUUCUGUGUCAAUUGUCGUGUUCGAAAAUACUCAGGAUCGAGAUACCCGAUUGUCCCUUUAAUAUCUGUGCUUACAUGAGUUUCAUCCAAGGAACUUGCUGUUGAAAGGCCAAAAUCAGAUACUUUAGCAACAAGGUUCUCAUCAAGCAAAAUGUUAGUUGAUUUCACAUCACGGUGAAUGAUUCCACUGGAUAAGCCUUUGUGUAGGUAAUGCAAGCCUUUAGCUGCACCAAUGCAAAUUUCUAGCCUUUUCUUCCAAGACAAGGGAGGAAAGUUUGAGUUGUAAAGAUGCUCCCUUAGUGUUCCCUUCUCCAAGAAUUCAUAAACCAAAAUCAUCUCAAGCCCUUCAUUGCAGUACCCAAUAAACGAAACGAGAUGCCGAUGUCGAAUUCGUGACAGUAUCGUGAUUUCUCUCUCGAAUUCGGAGAUACCUUGUCCAGCCCCUGGCUGGCUUCUCUUGACAGCUACUCUCAUGCCAUUUCUCAUAACUCCCUUAUAGACUUUCCCAAAACCACCCUCACCAACAAGGAAUUUCUUGUUGAAAUUAUUGGUAGCCGUUUUGAUUUCGGCGAGAGAAAACUUCAACCCAAGAUUCAAGUUGGGGAUGGGGGAGUUGCUUGAGGUUCUCUCAGUAAACUUGCUGUGAGUACUUCCACCUCCAAAUACAGGUAAUGGAUACCAUUUUGUGUGCGUUAUUUGUGAAGCUUUCUCUGAUUUUGGCUUCCUCCAUUUCAGACCAAAAUAGAUCCCAAAGCCUAAAAUACAGAUCAAACCAAAAAUCCCAAAGGCCAAACCCACAAAAACACCCACACGUUUGUUUUUCGUUUCCUUGACGACAGGAUCUUUGGUAUGUUCAUCCAUGGCUUCCAUAAUCUCAACCCCAUUCAAAAAAGCAUUGGACUGUAAUGUAUCUGGAUGAGGACUAACACUGACACUAAUGAACCCAUCUUCACCACAAUUCACCAAGAAAUCUAAAUGAAAUGGAUGAUUAACCAAAUCAGAAGAGCCAGUUUUUUUACUAAACCUAUUGCCAAUAGAAAGAUUGAAGUAAAGAAAACCGUGGGAUGUUUUACCAAUUAGAUCAUAGAAAUGAAGUCGGAGAAGAUGGCGAGUAUGUUUUCUUGAAGGAAAAUGCCAUGUUAUAUUGAUCGAGUUAAGAGAGGAAUUUAUCAAUUCUUUGGCAGUUUGGUAUACGAGUUCAGGCGCAAAAUAAUGGUCGUCUUCAUUCAAGAAUUUCAGUUUUGUUCGAUGAGGAAUGCUGUUUUUUGCAGAGCUCGGAUUCAAUAGAUAAGUGUUGUCCUGUUCUUGUUCCCAUUUACCCCACAGUCCGUCUGUGUCCGGGAGAAUUUCAGGACCUCCCACAUUGAUUCUGUAAAUUGUAUGUAAAACUAGAGAUGGGAAAAUCUUGGACUCACCUUUUUCUCCGGCGAGGGUAAUCACUUUAGCUUUGUCUGGAAUGAAGUUCGGUGGGAUGGGGAACACUUCAAUGGCAUUUACAUAAGCAAUCGAUGAAGAAUUUGGUGAAAAAUAGAUCCGAAAAUUUUCCCCUGAGUUUAAGCACAAGAAGAAUUCCUCAAUUGAGGUAGAAUUGUUACGGAUAUUAGUGGAGUUAAAGUUUCGAAGUAGGAGGAACCCAGAAGCAGAAACGUUGAAAACAGAUGUGGAUAAAUCAGUAGAGAAAUUGAAAGGGGAGAAAUGAAGACGUACAAUAUGAACAGUAUCUUGGUCGACUUCGAAUUCGUAAAAUGAUGGGUCCUUGAAAAUCCUUAUGGAAUCGUACAGAGAUGGAGACUCAGUGGAAUGAUCGACGACUUGACCGGAAUUAUGUGGGAUGAAUCUGAAACUGAUAGUAUUGGUGGUAUUCAAGUCGCCGAUGAAGCUCCGGCCAGCAUUAAAAACAGUGGUCUGUGAUCCACAGUUCACAAAAUACUUAUCUGGGGAAGUGUAUGAUUGAACAUGAAGAGAGAAGAAGAGAAGACAGAGGAAAAUGUGAGAGAAAAGGGUAUGGAAAUCAGAGCUCGAAACCAUUUCCAUGGAAAUGGUGGGUACAGAGCAAGUGGGGUUUCUUCUGUAGAUGGAAAAUUUGGAAUGGAAUGGAAGGGAGAUGAGAAUGAAUAAUGAGAGGGAAAAGAAAAUAGAUGCUGAACUGUUCAAACAGUCAACAGCCCAUCGACAACAGGUUAGUUCCAUUGAAGAAAACAGAUGGAGGAGAAGACGAUAAAGGAUCACAAAUACAGUGAUAAUGACAAAGAAAUUAAGUCGACUCGGAAGUUGCUUACUGUCGAGAAAAAAUAGUUCAAAACUGUAUCUGAAAAUAGUGCAAUGAUAGCAAUUCGAAAAUGCUCUUCACAUAAAAAUUUCUGCUUGAAGAACCUAAAUCUAAGUCGGGAAAAGAUAACAUAAAAAAGAUGGGAAAAAAUGGGAUUUGAACCAUGCACUACUUUUCCUCACGAUCGAUGGUGCCACUUUCUGAUUUUACCAAUCCUUGAAGCGAAUAUCUUUUUCACUUCUAUGGAAUCUAUAUUAUAUAUUCUUUUAUCUUCCAAAAUCAAUGGACAAUAAAAGAAAUAAUCUAUCUAUUUUAAGAAGCCUAAGUUUUCAUAAAUUUUUCAACAUCUCACAAAACGAUGAUAAAUAGAAUACAAUUCAAUAAUAUUUUACAUUAACCAUCACAACAGUUUUGACCAAAAAUUUUAACAAAAUUUCUAUUACCCUAUUAUGUAUGUUUGGUCGAGGUUGAACGGAGGUUUUGUUAGAUUAUUUUAGUUUGAAAAAUAAAUAAUAAUAGUCAAAUAGUAAAAAUGGAGUGAAGAAAGAAUUUUAAAAUAAUAUUUACUAUAACUUAUUUAAAAAUUUUAAAUAGUAUUUUAUUUACCUAAUGAUAUUAAUUAUAGUUUUACUUAAUUCAUGCGAUAAACAACCUCUCAAUUUUUAUAGAUAAUGAUUUUUCUUUAUUAGACAUACACUCACUUAUUUAAAUUAAAAAUUAUGAUAAAUAAAAUGUCUCAUUAAAAAACUAGUAUUGUAAAAACAGUAAUUGUAAUGGAUAACUAUUUGAUAAAUAAUAAUUAAGAAUAUAAUAACAUUUAAAAAAAAUGCAAAUUUAGCAAAAUUAUCGCUGAUAGACUUGUAUUACUGAUAGACUCUAUCAGUGAUAGUACAAGAUUUACAACAUGCUCUAUCGGUGAUAGACUUAUAUCAUUCAUAGAAUUUGACAAAUUUUGCUAUAUUUGCAAAUUUUUUAAAAUGUUGUUAUAUACUUAAUUAUUUUGAAUCUAAUUGUUAAAUUUGCAAUUAUCUCUUGUAAAAAAAUACACAAGUACAUGUAAAUUACUAGAAAUAGAUAUUUAUUAGUAAAAAAUGUUGUUGAUGAUGGGUCGAGCUUUGCACAUGGCCUCCAAUGGCACCAUCUUGGUCAUUAUGGCACCAGACAACUCCUUCAUGUCAAUGUCUUCUUCUCCAAUUUUCUUCCACUCAAAACAUUGAAUCAGAGUUGCUAAAGUAAGACCCAUCACUCUAUGUGCCAUGGCAGAACCAGGACAUGCACGCCUUCCUAAUCCAAAAGGCAAAAACUUGUGUAUCUCUACAGCUUCUGAUUUUUCGUAUCGCUCUGGUUUAAAACUCAUGCAAUCCUCCCACUCGUUUGAAUCUCUAUGUAUGGCCCAAGCAUUGACUAGUACCAUUGUGUCUCGUGGCACAUCAUACCCACAUAUUUUGCAGUCAUUGGUUGCAUAAUGGGGAACCAACAUGGGUGCCGCAGGAUUCAACCUAAGAGUCUCAGAGACGAUUCUUUGAAGAUAAGGUAGUUUAGAAAUGUCUGAUUCCUCCACGAGUCUUUCUUGUCCAAUUUGAGUGUCUAUCUCCUCUUUUGCCUUUUUUAACACUUGAGGAUUGUUUAGGAGAUGACUCAAGGCCCAUUCCAUUGUCACCGCGGAUGUG